RNAcentral lists this long non-coding RNA (1514 nucleotides) under Homo sapiens (human). RNAcentral's name for it is "HSALNT0116989". Lineage: Eukaryota; Metazoa; Chordata; Mammalia; Primates; Hominidae. The record is from RNAcentral.
GGCCCGGGCUGGGUCAGACGGACAGGCAGUAGCUCCGGCUGCUACGGGGGUACGUGGUCAGGUCAGCUGUCUCCUGAAACCAAACCCAGUGUCCUGUUUCCAGGUGGGAAUUUGAAGUGACCAGUUUGUCUGCACCAGGGUGCGGAGGGAGAGGGGGCUUGCUGCCUGCCAUGGCCUCGGGGCCUCUGUCGCAGCAUGAAAAUUUGGGGUGAGAGGCCUUCAUGCCUCUGCCUGCCCUCCUCACCUGACCCCAGGGACGCCCUGGCCCCUGGAGGUGGGAGGAGAGUAUUGCCUCCUGACCCGGCAGCACCUGCUGCUCCCGCCAUCUCCUGAAUCCCUGGCCGCCUUUAUCCUCACACCUGAACAGAGGAAACCAUCACACCUUUGUGCCCGACGAGGGAGGCCCAGAGGGCUUAAACCUCCCCUGCUGUGAUUUCCGCAGUGUUCUCCAUAGGCGUAAGAUGGGUCAUCCUCUAGCCGAGGGGGAGCUGCCCAGCUGACCACUGGAAGCUGUUCUCCAGCUGCUCCCAGCCCAGACCAGGCCAACCAGCUCCGUCCGUGUAUGCAGCCUCAAACCGAUGAUGCUGUUGCCAAUCCUUGCUUCUCAGCUGAACGUGUUUUCUGAUUACAACGUAGUACAGACUUAAAAGAGGACAUAGAAAAGUUGAAUUGGAAGGAGGAAGAACGGGAAGAAGACGUGUUAUCAUCUUAACACCUCUCCAGGUACUCCUCCCUUAUACUGAGAAGCUGCACUAGUCAACCUCACCCAGACAGAUUCAGGACCAGAAAUCUACUCUCCCUGUGCCCAGUGUUUCAGACAGAAUAUUGACAAAUGGCAAUGUGCACAUCCCUGGAGGCCAAGGCUCUGAACACACUCCUGGAUAAGGAAACCACUUUGGAGGCCAAGAAAACUGCAUUGGUCUAUUCUCACAUGGGAAAGGUGCCAUCAUAAUCUCUGUGUAGAGAAGAAACUGGAGAAGCUGUAGUGGAGGGACAUUCUUGGCACCCAGCUGAAGACCGCGGUACCGUGCAGGUGGAUUAGGACAGCGAGGGGCACUGUGGCGUCGUGCAGGUGACCCAGGACAGCGAGGGGCACCGUGGCGUCGUGCAGGUGACUCGGGACAGCGAGGGGCACCGUGGCGUCCGUGCAGGUGACUCGGGACAGCGAGGGGCACCGUGGCGUCCGUGCAGGUGACUCGGGACAGCGAGGGGCACCGUGGCGUCCGUGCACGUGACCUGGGACACAUGCUCACAGGAAAAGGGUUUGUUCUGGGCAUGCCUACAGGGCAGGCCAGGGGACCUGGCUGUCCUCCCUGCGAGGAGGGUCUUGAUUUCCUAGCGUUUUCUGGGUCUCUAUUUUGGGUAGCUCUCCUGAUUGUACCUGAAAGUUUUCUUUUAAAUCCAGAAACUAUUAAUCACUGAAUGAUUCACUGAGAACUACUGAACCAUAAUUAUGGAAUGAAUCAUAUGCAAUUUAAUAACGAUUUAACUCAAAUAUUUAUAAAAAUGUGCUC